AUGCUCGCUUCAGCAGCACACACACUAAAACUGGAACAAUACAGAGAAGAUUAGCAUGGCCUUCACACAAGGAUGACACAUAAAAGUUAGAAAACAAUAGGAAAUUU
RNAcentral lists this small nuclear RNA (107 nucleotides) under Zalophus californianus (California sea lion). The record is from RNAcentral. Lineage: Eukaryota; Metazoa; Chordata; Mammalia; Carnivora; Otariidae.